This 462-nucleotide small RNA is filed under the name Pongo abelii (Sumatran orangutan). Its description in RNAcentral is "transcribed unitary pseudogene". Lineage: Eukaryota; Metazoa; Chordata; Mammalia; Primates; Hominidae. The record is from RNAcentral.
AUGGAGAUCCUAGACGAGUUCGACAGCGAGGUCCCGCAGAGGGAGACCUUCUGCCAGCAGAUCUCCGAGAAAGACUUGGAGAGGCAGGCGGACACCUACAUUGGGCGCGCGCUGCGCCACCUCGUCCGCAACCCGUCGCUGGCGGAGAGGGUGGCGAAGUUCUUCUGUGUUGUGCAGGGGGAAGCUGAACCAUUGCAACAGCAUGGGCGCCCUGGAGAUGCACGAGCGGGUGGAGCAGCUGAAGCAGAGCAUCCACCGCGUGCACCUCUACUCCCGGGACACCAAGAAGACGAGAAGGAAGCCAAGACAGAAGAAACCAGAACCCAACCUCUUAUGGGACCGGUUGACCCCCCAUAUCUGCCACCAACCCUGCUGCCACCUCUGCCACUACCAACACCAUGGCCUCCGUGGUGACCCCAUCAGCCCUUGGCACCUGGGGCUGCCUUGCUUGCCUACAGCCAA